UCUUUCUAGAAUGUACAGUGGAGAGAAAAGGGAAGGCACAAGGCACCGUUGUACAAAUCCAAGGCACUCUUGGAGCACAUGAGAAUUUCUCUUAGAUGACUCCUUUUUCAAAAGCUCAUCCCGGCCCCCAUCUUUCUUCUUUUUCUUUCCCAAUUUUCUACACCGAACAUGCAUUGUUGUCAUGGGAGAGAAGUCACUAAUGUAUAUUUAAGGAGAAAUAAAGGAAGGAACUUCUCUGUGAGCAAGAGUGUUUGAAUGCGUUCGAGGGUGGGUGCUAUGGAGGAGAUUCGGCUGAUGUGUGAGGUACAAUAAUGAUAUUACCAUUAUCCUGGGGUGGGGGAAGAAAAUGCUUCCUGGUAGGAGACUCACAUGGAAGUAUUUAUGGGGGUAAUGCCAUACUCUCUGGAUGUGCCUUAAAAUAUUACAAUGACAACACCGACGAAAAAUGGGGAUAAAUAAAACAAUAUUGAAAAAUGUGAAUCACCAAAGUUGGCUGGUGGGACAUGGGUUUUCGUUCUGUUCCCUCUACUUUUGUGUUGUUUGAAAAUAUGCAUACUGAAACACUGGAAUAAUAGGGUAUGGGAAAUGUGAAUGUGUAUUUUCCAAACCAAGAUGGCGGCCCAGGUCUUGGACUUCUUUAGCCUGACGAACCAGUGGCCCACGUGGAACCCCAGCUGCCUGUUCAGGUGGGCACUCGACAGGGCUUCUCACAUUCUCUGAUCCGAGAAGGGAGUGUGCCCUUCCCUGGGGGGUUAAAGGUACCAAAGGAUGUCCUCGCCCUGCUCUCCGACCUGUGACUCUAACGACUUGCAGGUCUCCACUCCCGCCAGGUCACACUGUCGCCUCCGCAGGUUUUCGAUCAUGAUCUGUCCGAACCGGUCGUCCAUGUUCACCUAGGAAGGGAAAGAGGAGGCUGGGCAAUGCCAGAAGGGCUUCUCGAAUACGCAAAAUCCGACAACAGUAUUCUGUUUCUGAGCCGUCGAGGCUGAUGUUUGCUAAUACCCAGUGCAGUCAACGGAGUCGGGUGCAGGCACGGCACGCAGGGCCAACGAGAGCAUCGUCUGCUGCCGCCCCCUGCAGGGCAACCGGGAGGUGUGUGCUCGGCCUGGGAGCCGGUCAGACCACUGACCGGCUGCUCCACAGGUAGACUCCCACGUGCAUGCCAGGUGCAAGAGGGUUUACUCCGCAGCAUGAUGUGUCACGGGACCUAUGACGGAAAGGACUCACAUGCCCAUCCGCUGGGCUUCAAGCAGCUGUGGCAUGGUCGUUUAAUGAAAUAUUACAUUGCCAUGAAAACAGCAAGAGGACAUCCAAGGAGAUGUAGGUACAGAUGUAGACACACAUACAGACACAGAUACGGAUGCGGAAUGAUUCUCAGAUAACAGACUCUCGAAAAGUACAGUACAGAGGGAUGUGCAUAACAUGCUCCUGUCUGCCCUUAAGAAAAAAAAAAUCUCUAGCUACAUUUAUAUAUGCAUGGAAUAAUUCUGGAAUCUGGCCAUGUUGCUUCCCAGGUUAGAGGACUCACUAAGGUCUGGGGUAGAAGAGAGACUUACCUUUCCCUGCAUACCCUUUUGUACUAUUUGAUUUUUUUUGAAGUUUUGCAUGUAGUGUUACUUAUCUAGUGAAAAACCAUUUAAACCCCC
Long non-coding RNA from Leopardus geoffroyi (Geoffroy's cat), 1646 nucleotides. RefSeq lists it as uncharacterized. The record is from RefSeq and is a predicted model, not a curated record. Lineage: Eukaryota; Metazoa; Chordata; Mammalia; Carnivora; Felidae. The transcript has 2 exons.